UAUGGAAAGGAAGUAUUUGAAGAAAGAAGUUAUUCAGGGAGACAAAAUGGUUAUAGCAAGAAACACAGAAGUAAUGACAUUGAAUGCUCAUCAAAGACCAAGAUUAUGUCAUCACUCCAACGGUCCUUCUCACUACUAUAUAAAGGACAGUCUACCUCACUGAGAGACACAACAUCAAUGCACAGAAAAAGUCAUUCAUAUUCUCUCUCAUUUUCACGAGCUG
RNAcentral lists this long non-coding RNA (223 nucleotides) under Lathyrus oleraceus (garden pea). RNAcentral describes it as "Pisum sativum (pea) long non-coding RNA (PSAT_LNC022804)". The record is from RNAcentral. Lineage: Eukaryota; Viridiplantae; Streptophyta; Magnoliopsida; Fabales; Fabaceae.